AGUAGACGUUCAGAGUUUGAUCCUGGCUCAGGAUGAACGCUGGCGGCGUGCCUAACACAUGCAAGUCGAACGGGACUAUCUGGAAGAUCUUUUCGGAGUGAUUCCUGAUAGUUUAGUGGCGGACGGGUGAGUAACGCGUGGAUAACCUGCCUUUCACAGGGGGAUAGCAGCUGGAAACGGCUGGUAAUACCGCAUACGCUCAUAUCACCGCAUGGUGGUGUGAGGAAAGAUUUAUCGGUGAAAGAUGGAUCCGCGUCUGAUUAGCCAGUUGGCGGGGUAACGGCCCACCAAAGCGACGAUCAGUAGCCGGCCUGAGAGGGCGGACGGCCACAUUGGGACUGAGACACGGCCCAG
This 354-nucleotide ribosomal RNA is filed under the name uncultured bacterium. RNAcentral describes it as "bacterial SSU rRNA". It matches the Rfam family "Bacterial small subunit ribosomal RNA", at positions 1 to 334 of the family's 1533-position model. The record is from RNAcentral.